GACGAACGCUGGCGGCGUGCUUAACACAUGCAAGUCGAACGGAAAGGCCCUGCUUUUGUGGGGUGCUCGAGUGGCGAACGGGUGAGUAACACGUGAGUAACCUGCCCUUGACUUUGGGAUAACUUCAGGAAACUGGGGCUAAUACCGGAUAGGAGCUCCUGCUGCAUGGUGGGGGUUGGAAAGUUUCGGCGGUUGGGGAUGGACUCGCGGCUUAUCAGCUUGUUGGUGGGGUAGUGGCUUACCAAGGCUUUGACGGGUAGCCGGCCUGAGAGGGUGACCGGCCGCAUUGGGACUGAGAUACGGCCCAGACUCCUACGGGAGGCAGCAGUGGGGAAUAUUGCACAAUGGGCGGAAGCCUGAUGCAGCAACGCCGCGUGCGGGAUGACGGCCUUCGGGUUGUAAACCGCUUUCGCCUGUGACGAAGCGUGAGUGACGGUAAUGGGGAAAGAAGCACCGGCUAACUUCGU
Molecule: ribosomal RNA, 467 nt
Filed under: uncultured bacterium
Lineage: Bacteria
Description: partial 16S ribosomal RNA
Rfam family: Bacterial small subunit ribosomal RNA
Source: RNAcentral